GAUGAGAGAAUAACAAAUCAGAUUUUUCUUCUUGAUUUUUAACCUUUUCCUCCUAAAAAAUUUAAAUCAAACUAAAAACACUAAAAAUAAGGAGGAAAAAUUUAAUUUGUUAUUCUCCUAUU
This 122-nucleotide microRNA precursor is filed under the name Gossypium hirsutum (cotton). RNAcentral describes it as "MIR7504 microRNA precursor family". It matches the Rfam family "MIR7504 microRNA precursor family". The record is from Rfam by way of RNAcentral. Lineage: Eukaryota; Viridiplantae; Streptophyta; Magnoliopsida; Malvales; Malvaceae.